Molecule: ribosomal RNA, 608 nt
Filed under: Cladophora socialis
Lineage: Eukaryota; Viridiplantae; Chlorophyta; Ulvophyceae; Cladophorales; Cladophoraceae
Description: eukaryotic LSU rRNA
Rfam family: Eukaryotic large subunit ribosomal RNA
Source: RNAcentral
ACCCGCUGAACUUAAGCAUAUCAAUAAGCGGAGGAAAAGAAACCAACAGGGAUUCCCCUAGUAACGGCGAGCGAAAAGGGAUCAGCCCAGUAUGAAAAUCACCGGUUAACCGGUGAGUUGUAGUCUGCAGUGGCAACUCCUGGGUGGCGCGCGGCCGAAGCAUCUUGGAACAGAUCGCCGCAGAGGGUGAGAGUCCCGUAGGCCAAGCAAAGCCCUUCACGGAGUGCUCACGGAGAGUCGGGUUGUUUGGGAAUGCAGCCCAAAUUGGGUGGUAAACCCCAUCUAAGGCUAAAUACCGGUGGGAGACCGAUAGCAAAAAAGUACCUCGAGGGAACGAUGAAAAGACCGCUGGCAAGCGAGUGAAAGAGUGCAUGAAAUUGUACAGUGGGAAGGGAUGGCCUGGCGUGCUGCGCCCGAGUAUACCCGGCUCAUGGAGGCGGUGAAUACAUCGGGCGCUUGCAGGUGCCGACACGCGUGGCUGAAGAUCACGAAGCCGAGACGUUUCGCGUCGCAGGCGCGCGUGUUGAGGUCGAUUGCUGCUUGUGCAAAACUGCAGCGACAAAGCACCCGCUGAAGCUUGUCCAUCUACCCGUCUUGAAACACGGACC